UGGGGAAUAUUGGACAAUGGGCGCAAGCCUGAUCCAGCCAUGCCGCGUGAGUGAUGAAGGCCCUAGGGUUGUAAAGCUCUUUCACCGGUGAAGAUAAUGACGGUAACCGGAGAGGAAGCCCCGGCUAACUUCGUGCCAGCAGCCGCGGUAAUACGAAGGGGGCUAGCGUUGUUCGGAUUUACUGGGCGUAAAGCGCACGUAGGCGGACUUUUAAGUCAGGGGUGAAAUCCCGGGGCUCAACCCCGGAACUGCCUUUGAUACUGGAAGUCUUGAGUAUGGUAGAGGUGAGUGGAAUUCCGGGUGUAGAGGUGAAAUUCGUAGAUAUUCGGAGGAACACCAGUGGCGAAGGCGGCUCACUGGACCAUUACUGACGCUGAGGUGCGAAAGCGUGGGGAGCAAACAGG
RNAcentral lists this ribosomal RNA (404 nucleotides) under Brucella melitensis. Its description in RNAcentral is "partial 16S ribosomal RNA". It matches the Rfam family "Bacterial small subunit ribosomal RNA", at positions 355 to 776 of the family's 1533-position model. The record is from RNAcentral. RNAcentral also lists the same sequence under 1 other name. Lineage: Bacteria; Pseudomonadati; Pseudomonadota; Alphaproteobacteria; Hyphomicrobiales; Brucellaceae.